Molecule: ribosomal RNA, 481 nt
Filed under: uncultured bacterium
Lineage: Bacteria
Description: bacterial SSU rRNA
Rfam family: Bacterial small subunit ribosomal RNA
Source: RNAcentral
GACGAACGCUGGCGGCGUGCUUAACACAUGCAAGUCGAACGAGAAUCUACUGAAAGAGUUUUCGGACAAUGGAUGUAGAGGAAAGUGGCGGACGGGUGAGUAACGCGUGAGGAACCUGCCUUGAAGAGGGGGACAACAGUUGGAAACGACUGCUAAUACCGCAUGAAGCAUAGGGGUCGCAUGAUUCUUAUGCCAAAGAUUUAUCGCUUCAAGAUGGCCUCGCGUCUGAUUAGCUAGUUGGCGGGGUAACGGCCCACCAAGGCGACGAUCAGUAGCCGGACUGAGAGGUUGAACGGCCACAUUGGGACUGAGAUACGGCCCAGACUCCUACGGGAGGCAGCAGUGGGGAAUAUUGGGCAAUGGGCGCAAGCCUGACCCAGCAACGCCGCGUGAAGGAAGAAGGCUUUCGGGUUGUAAACUCUUUUAAGAGGGUAAGAGCAGAAGACGGUACCUCUAGAAUAAGCCACGGCUAACUACGUAG